This 476-nucleotide ribosomal RNA is filed under the name uncultured organism. RNAcentral's name for it is "partial 16S ribosomal RNA". It matches the Rfam family "Bacterial small subunit ribosomal RNA", at positions 332 to 799 of the family's 1533-position model. The record is from RNAcentral.
UACACUCCUACGGGAGGCAGCAGUGGGGAAUUUUGGACAAUGGGCGAAAGCCUGAUCCAGCAAUGCCGCGUGAGUGAAGAAGGCCUUCGGGUUGUAAAGCUCUUUUGUCAGGGAAGAAACGGUGAAAGCUAAUAUCUUUUGCUAAUGACGGUACCUGAAGAAUAAGCACCGGGUAACUACGUGCCAGCAGCCGCGGUAAUACGUAAGGUGCAAGCGUUAAUCGGAAUUACUGGGCGUAAAGCGUGCGCAGGCGGUUUUGUAAGUCUGAUGUGAAAUCCCCGGGCUCAACCUGGGAAUUGCAUUGGAGACUGCAAGGCUGGAAUCUGGCAGAGGGGGGUAGAAUUCCACGUGUAGCAGUGAAAUGCGUAGAUAUGUGGAGGAACACCGAUGGCGAAGGCAGCCCCCUGGGUCAAGAUUGACGCUCAUGCACGAAAGCGUGGGGAGCAAACAGGAUUAGAAACCCUAGUAGUCCCAUG